CCGCGGUUGAACCGCACAAACACUGCAGCACAGGUGAGGCUCUAACUUCACACUCAAGCAGAUUUCAUGGUUUUACUUCUUACGGCCUGUUGGGUUCAUAUAGCUCUAGUCGGUCUCAGGCAGGACCAGAACCAGAACCAGGUGAGGGCGUUCAGCCGGAUCAGAACCUGGUUCUGUUUCUGAUCCGGAUGGCUUCAGUUCAUUCUGAUGUUUCUUUGUGUUUUUAAUGUAUUUGUUGUUUGAACUUUGAUCAAUGAUUGGUUCUCUGGUAGCCCCGCCCCCUGACACACCUGGACCGGCAGGUUCUGCUUUAAGAACUACAACAGGAAGACAUUUCAAUAUUCGCUCAGCUUCACCUGCUCUGUGUUCUGAUUGGCUGGUUCCUUCCUGGAGGCGGCUGACAUGAUGCUGCCAUCACCUAAUCGCUCUCCCUCUCCUGCUGUUUCUACUUUCAUGAACAUCA
Molecule: long non-coding RNA, 463 nt
Organism: Xiphophorus couchianus (Monterrey platyfish)
Lineage: Eukaryota; Metazoa; Chordata; Actinopteri; Cyprinodontiformes; Poeciliidae
Exons: 2
Source: RefSeq, a predicted model, not a curated record